CCCUUAGAUGUCCUGGGCCGCACGCGCGCUACACUGAGUGUCUGAGGUACGAGUCUGCCUGGUCCGGCAAGGUCUAGGUAAUCGCUAAAAGACACAUCAUGCUUGGGAUAGAUUAUUGCAAAUAUUAAUCUUGAACGAGGAAUUCCUAGUAAGCGCAAGUCAACAGCUUGCGUUGAUUACGUCCCUGCCCUUUGUACACACCGCCCGUCGCUACUACUGAUUGGAUGUUUAAGCGAGGUUCUCGAACUGCUAGCGACUUAGCUUCGGUGAGGUCGCAGUGUGGGAAGUGAGCCUAGCUUUGGUGUCUAGAGGAAGUAAAAGUCGUAACA
This 329-nucleotide ribosomal RNA is filed under the name uncultured eukaryote. RNAcentral describes it as "partial 18S ribosomal RNA". It matches the Rfam family "Eukaryotic small subunit ribosomal RNA", at positions 1470 to 1796 of the family's 1831-position model. The record is from RNAcentral.